UAGGGAAUAUUAGUAAUGGGCGAAAGCCUGAACUAGCAACGCCGCGUGUGCGAAGAAGGCCUUCGGGUUGUAAAGCACUUUUUGAGAGGAUGAGGAAGGACGGUACUCUCAGAAUAAGUCUCGGCUAACUACGUGCCAGCAGCCGCGGUAACACGUAGGAGGCGAACGUUAUCCGGAUUUACUGGGCGUAAAGCGCGUGUAGGUGGUUUGGUAAGUAGGGCGUGAAAGCUCCUGGCUCAACUGGGAGAGGCCGUUCUAAACUGCCGAACUAGAGGAUGGUAGAGGGAGGUGGAAUUCUGGGUGUAGCGGUGGAAUGCGCAGAUAUCCGGAGGAACACCAGUGGCGAAAGUGGCCUCCUGGACCACUCCUGACACUCAGACGCGAAAGCUAGGGUAGCAAACGG
This 403-nucleotide ribosomal RNA is filed under the name uncultured bacterium. RNAcentral's name for it is "bacterial SSU rRNA". It matches the Rfam family "Bacterial small subunit ribosomal RNA", at positions 355 to 775 of the family's 1533-position model. The record is from RNAcentral.